RNAcentral lists this ribosomal RNA (274 nucleotides) under uncultured bacterium. RNAcentral's name for it is "partial 16S ribosomal RNA". It matches the Rfam family "Bacterial small subunit ribosomal RNA", at positions 523 to 796 of the family's 1533-position model. The record is from RNAcentral.
AUACGGAGGGUGCAAGCGUUGUUCGGAAUCACUGGGCGUAAAGGGCGCGCAGGCGGUUUUACAAGUCAGAUGUGAAAGCCCACGGCUCAACCGUGGAAGUGCAUUUGAAACUGUAAGACUUGAGUAUCAGAGGGGAAGGUGGAAUUCCCGGUGUAGAGGUGAAAUUCGUAGAUAUCGGGAGGAAUACCGGUGGCGAAGGCGACUUUCUGGCUGAAUACUGACGCUGAGGCGCGAAAGCGUGGGGAGCAAACAGGAUUAGAAACCCGAGUAGUCC